This 1364-nucleotide ribosomal RNA is filed under the name Candidatus Moranbacteria bacterium GW2011_GWF1_44_4. RNAcentral describes it as "bacterial SSU rRNA". It matches the Rfam family "Bacterial small subunit ribosomal RNA", at positions 1 to 1009 of the family's 1533-position model. The record is from RNAcentral. Lineage: Bacteria; Candidatus Moraniibacteriota.
UGAGAGUUUGAUCCUGGCUCAGGAUGAACGCUGGCGGCGUGGAUAAGGCAUGCAAGUCGAGGGCCGAUUUUGAUCGGCCCGGCAAACGGGUUAGUAACGCAUAGGAACGUACCCUCGAGUCUCGAAUAAUCCCUCGAAAGGGGGAAUAAUGCGAGAUAGUUCUCUUCGGAGUAAAGAUUUAUCGCUUGAGGAGCGGCCUGUGUCCUAUCAGCUUGUUGGCGGGGUAAAGGCCCACCAAGGCUAUGACGGGUAGGGGAUGUGAGAGCAUGAUCCCCAACAUUGGGACUGAGACACUGCCCAAACACCUACGGGUGGCUGCAGUCGAGAAUCUUCGGCAAUGGGCGAAAGCCUGACCGAGCGACGCCGCGUGGAGGAUGAAGGCCUUCGGGUUGUAAACUCCUUUUGCAAGGGAAGAAACCGUGUUCAGCACGGAGAAUCCAAUUACACUCCGCCUCAUCGGCGGAAACUUUAGGAAUUGUGUUGAGAAAAAAUGUUUUGAUCUUUUUUAGGGAGGAAUAAACAAUGGCCGCCCAAAGUCUUGAGAUUACGGCAAAAACAGAAGAGGCUUUAGAAAAAGAAGUCAACCAUCGUGUCGAGUUUGCGCCCCAAAUUGGCCGUCGGGUUACUGGUGUGCAGUUUAUGAAAACACUGGCUGCCGAUGGGAACCACAGGGCUAUACUCACGAUCGAAGGAGGAUGUUGCUGCUAAAAAACAAUUCCCCUAAAUCGAUUCAAGCGAGAUUGCGAACCUGCUUUCUCGCAAUCUCAACUCAAUUCCUAAAAAGAAAAAAGUGUAAUUGACGAUUCCGUGUUGGAUACGGCUGACGGUACCUUGCGAAUAAGAGGUUGCUAACUCUGUGCCAGCAGCAGCGGUAAUACAGAGACCUCAAGCGUUAUCCGGAUUUAUUGGGCGUAAAGCGUGUGUAGGUGGCGAUGAUAGUCAGAUGUCAAAUUCCAGCGCUCAACGUUGGAGCUGCAUCUGAAACGUCAUCACUAGAGGCAAGUAGAGGCUCAUGGAACAUAUGGUGUAGCAGUGAAAUGCGUUGAUAUCAUAUGGAACGCCAAAGGAGAAGUCAGUGAGCUGGGCUUUGCCUGACACUGAGACACGAAAGCGUGGGUAGCGAACGGGAUUAGAUACCCCGGUAGUCCACGCCCUAAACGUUGCCAACUAGGUCUUGGAAGUAUCGACCCUUUCAGGACCGUAGCUAACGCGUUAAGUUGGCCGCCUGGGAAGUACGGCCGCAAGGCUAAAACUCAAAGGAAUAGACGGGGACCCGCACAAGCGGUGGAGCACGCGGUUCAAUUCGUCAACAAGCGAGGAACCUCACCAGGGCUUGAAAUCCUACUGCAAAUCCCGAGAAAUCG